This is a small nucleolar RNA of Ornithorhynchus anatinus (platypus), 138 nucleotides long. Lineage: Eukaryota; Metazoa; Chordata; Mammalia; Monotremata; Ornithorhynchidae. The record is from RefSeq and is a predicted model, not a curated record.
GGCCUCUCAGGGUCACACCUGGAGAGUUUCCAAUACUCUACCAGUCUCAGCUACGGGAGGGAGAGUCAAGCAGAGACCUACCCAUUCCAUUCCUAGCUUGGAAAGUGGUUAGCAGGUGGAAGGUAAUCUGCAACAAGU